GGAGAGGUGCCGGAGUGGUCGAUCGGGACGGUUUCGAAAACCGUAGUCCUCUUUAUAGGGGACCCUGGGUUCGAAUCCCAGCCUCUCCGCCA
RNAcentral lists this transfer RNA (92 nucleotides) under Planctomycetota bacterium. RNAcentral's name for it is "Planctomycetes bacterium (groundwater metagenome) tRNA-Ser". It matches the Rfam family "tRNA". From Rfam's summary of the family: Transfer RNA (tRNA) molecules are approximately 80 nucleotides in length. Lineage: Bacteria; Pseudomonadati; Planctomycetota. The record is from RNAcentral.